ACGGGAGGCAGCAGUGGGGAAUUUUGGACAAUGGGCGCAAGCCUGAUCCAGCAAUGCCGCGUGAGUGAAGAAGGCCUUCGGGUUGUAAAGCUCUUUUGUCAGGGAAGAAACGGUAGAGGCUAAUAUCCUUUGCUAAUGACGGUACCUGAAGAAUAAGCACCGGCUAACUACGUGCCAGCAGCCGCGGUAAUACGUAGGGUGCAAGCGUUAAUCGGAAUUACUGGGCGUAAAGCGUGCGCAGGCGGUUUUGUAAGUCUGACGUGAAAUCCCCGGGCUCAACCUGGGAAUUGCGUUGGAGACUGCAAGGCUAGAAUCUGGCAGAGGGGGGUAGAAUUCCACGUGUAGCAGUGAAAUGCGUAGAGAUGUGGAGGAACACCGAUGGCGAAGGCAGCCCCCUGGGUCAAGAUUGACGCUCAUGCACGAAAGCGUGGGGAGCAAACAGGAUUAGAUACCCUGGUA
Molecule: ribosomal RNA, 459 nt
Filed under: uncultured Burkholderiales bacterium
Lineage: Bacteria; Pseudomonadati; Pseudomonadota; Betaproteobacteria; Burkholderiales
Description: bacterial SSU rRNA
Rfam family: Bacterial small subunit ribosomal RNA
Source: RNAcentral